GCCCCCAUCGUCUAGAGGCCCAGGACAGCAGAUUCUCAGUCUGCAUACACCGGUUCGAAUCCGGUUGGGGGUA
This 73-nucleotide transfer RNA is filed under the name Phycisphaerae bacterium. RNAcentral describes it as "tRNA-Glu". It matches the Rfam family "tRNA". From Rfam's summary of the family: Transfer RNA (tRNA) molecules are approximately 80 nucleotides in length. Their secondary structure includes four short double-helical elements and three loops (D, anti-codon, and T loops). Lineage: Bacteria; Pseudomonadati; Planctomycetota; Phycisphaerae. RNAcentral also lists the same sequence under 1 other name. The record is from RNAcentral.